UCCACAGUAGCUCAGUGGUAGAGCUAUCGGCUGUUAACCGAUCGGUCGUAGGUUCGAGUCCUAAGCUGGAGGG
RNAcentral lists this transfer RNA (73 nucleotides) under Staphylococcus aureus. RNAcentral describes it as "tRNA-Asn(gtt)". It matches the Rfam family "tRNA". From Rfam's summary of the family: Transfer RNA (tRNA) molecules are approximately 80 nucleotides in length. Their secondary structure includes four short double-helical elements and three loops (D, anti-codon, and T loops). Further hydrogen bonds mediate the characteristic L-shaped molecular structure. tRNAs have two regions of fundamental functional importance: the anti-codon, which is responsible for specific mRNA codon recognition, and the 3' end, to which the tRNAs corresponding amino acid is attached (by aminoacyl-tRNA synthetases). tRNAs cope with the degeneracy of the genetic code in two manners: having more than one tRNA (with a specific anti-codon) for a particular amino acid; and 'wobble' base-pairing, i.e. permitting non-standard base-pairing at the 3rd anti-codon position. Lineage: Bacteria; Bacillati; Bacillota; Bacilli; Caryophanales; Staphylococcaceae. The record is from RNAcentral.